Molecule: long non-coding RNA, 339 nt
Filed under: Malus domestica (apple)
Lineage: Eukaryota; Viridiplantae; Streptophyta; Magnoliopsida; Rosales; Rosaceae
Description: long non-coding RNA (MDOM_LNC003060)
Source: RNAcentral
AAAGUUGAAUGCAAGUGUAUCAUGUGUGGAGAAGAACCCUCUAGUUAGUCUAUCACCCAUCAAUUUACUUAAUUCUGUCUAAAAAUCUGUUUACAUUGUUCUUGCUUUGUUUUAUUUAUUUUCGUCCAAAAUCAACCCCAUCUUAUUUCUUUGAGUCAUAUUAACUAGAACUUGUCUUAGAAUGUGUUUUUAGGUGUUUUAGGUCAUUAGAAAACCAAAAUUCGUCCAAGUUGUGUUAGAGUCCCAAAACUGCCCAGAAAGUGGUUUUUAGGCAGUUUUGAGUCUUUUGGUUUGUUUUAGUGUUUUAGAGUUUAGUUUUGCAUUCUUUGAGUCUAGUUU